GAUGAAGAACGUAGCGAAAUGCGAUAAGUAAUGUGAAUUGCAGAAUUCAGUGAAUCAUCGAAUCUUUGAACGCACAUUGCGCCCGUCAGUAUUCUGGCGGGCAUGCCUGUUCGAGCGUCAUUACGCCCCUCAAGUCCCCUGUGGACUUGGUGUUGGGGAUCGGCGAGGCUGGUUUUCCAGCACAGCCGUCCCUUAAAUUAAUUGGCGGUCUCGCCGUGGCCCUCCUCUGCGCAGUAGUAAAACACUCGCAACAGGAGCCCGGCGCGGUCCACUGCCGUAAACCCCCCAACUUUUUAUAGUUGACCUCGAAUCAGGUAGGACUACCCGCUGAACUUAAGCAUAUCAAUAAGCGGAGGA
This 357-nucleotide unclassified non-coding RNA is filed under the name soil metagenome. Its description in RNAcentral is "partial contains 5.8S ribosomal RNA, internal transcribed spacer 2, and large subunit ribosomal RNA". The stretch from base 1 to 120 matches the Rfam family "5.8S ribosomal RNA", at positions 35 to 154 of the family's 154-position model. The record is from RNAcentral.